RNAcentral lists this ribosomal RNA (503 nucleotides) under uncultured bacterium. RNAcentral's name for it is "partial 16S ribosomal RNA". It matches the Rfam family "Bacterial small subunit ribosomal RNA", at positions 30 to 523 of the family's 1533-position model. The record is from RNAcentral.
AUUGAACGCUGGCGGCAGGCUUAACACAUGCAAGUCGAGCGGGGUGAUGGUGCUUGCACUAUCACUUAGCGGCGGACGGGUGAGUAAUGCUUAGGAAUCUGCCUAUUAGUGGGGGACAACAUCUCGAAAGGGAUGCUAAUACCGCAUACGUCCUACGGGAGAAAGCAGGGGAUCACUUGUGACCUUGCGCUAAUAGAUGAGCCGAAGUCGGAUUAGCUAGUUGGUGGGGUAAAGGCCUACCAAGGCGACGAUCUGUAGCGGGUCUGAGAGGAUGAUCCGCCACACUGGGACUGAGACACGGCCCAGACUCCUACGGGAGGCAGCAGUGGGGAAUAUUGGACAAUGGGGGGAACCCUGAUCCAGCCAUGCCGCGUGUGUGAAGAAGGCCUUAUGGUUGUAAAGCACUUUAAGCGAGGAGGAGGCUCUUUUGGUUAAUACCCAAGAUGAGUGGACGUUACUCGCAGAAUAAGCACCGGCUAACUCUGUGCCAGCAGCCGCAGUAA